Molecule: ribosomal RNA, 377 nt
Filed under: uncultured bacterium
Lineage: Bacteria
Description: bacterial SSU rRNA
Rfam family: Bacterial small subunit ribosomal RNA
Source: RNAcentral
UAAUACGUAGGAGGCGAGCGUUAUCCGGAUUCACUGGGCGUAAAGCGUGUGCAGGCGGUUUGGUUAGUUGGAUGUGAAAGCUCCUGGCUCAACUGGGAGAGGUCGUUCAAUACUGCCAGACUAGAGGACGGUAGAGGAGAGUGGAAUUCCCGGUGUAGUGGUGAAAUGCGUAGAUAUCGGGAGGAACACCAGUGGCGAAAGCGGCUCUCUGGGCCGUUCCUGACGCUAAGACACGAAAGCGUGGGUAGCGAACGGGAUUAGAAACCCCGGUAGUCCACGCUGUAAACGAUGCAAACUUGGUGUUGGUGGCGUAAAAACCUUCAGUGCCGAAGCUAACGCGAUAAGUUUGCCGCCUGGGGACUACGAUCGCAAGAUUA